This 29-nucleotide non-coding RNA is filed under the name Rattus norvegicus (Norway rat). Lineage: Eukaryota; Metazoa; Chordata; Mammalia; Rodentia; Muridae. The record is from RNAcentral.
UGACAAAACGAAUUGUGGUUUUUCUCAGA